GGUUUCCUGUCUUAUAUUUAGGUCUUUCCUCUAUUUUGAGUUUAUUUUUGUGUAUGAUGUAAGAAAGCGGUCCAGUUUCAUUCUUCUGCAUGUUGCUGUCCAGUUUUCCUAACAGCAUUUGCUGAAGAGAGUGUGUUUGAUCCCAUUGGGUAAUCUU
Long non-coding RNA from Herpailurus yagouaroundi (jaguarundi), 157 nucleotides. RefSeq lists it as uncharacterized. The record is from RefSeq and is a predicted model, not a curated record. The transcript is spliced from 3 exons. NCBI's taxonomy places the organism in Eukaryota, Metazoa, Chordata, Mammalia, Carnivora, Felidae.